RNAcentral lists this long non-coding RNA (1088 nucleotides) under Homo sapiens (human). RNAcentral's name for it is "long intergenic non-protein coding RNA 1473". The record is from RNAcentral. Lineage: Eukaryota; Metazoa; Chordata; Mammalia; Primates; Hominidae.
AUGUUGAGAUGAUUGAGCCACAAGUUUGAAACUGCCAGGACUUCUGAGUCACCACAUGGAAAACUGCUCGUCUGCAGAGUUAUAAAAUUUGGCUAGGACUUCAUGUGAAGGACAUGUUUGCUUCCCUUUCCACCAUGAUUGCAAGUUUCCUGAGGCCUCCCUAGCCAUGCUGAACUCACAGUUUUUAAAGUAUCUAGUGUAUAUAAGGACAAGCCAUUCUCAGUCAAGCAUGAAACUGAAUCUGAGCAGGAAAAGAAGAAAGCUGAAAACACACUGAGGAUUAUGGGAGAGGGGCAAGUGCAUGAAGCUUCUCAAUGACAUACAGACACUCUAAAAGCUCAAGAGAUCAAUUAUUCAACUUCAAGAACUGAAAUUUGAACACAGAUUUUGAGCUUCCAAAUCAGCUACACAGGGAUAUUCAUCCAAGCAGAAAGAUAAUACCAGAGUUCCGAACUGGAGGCUGAAUAGCAAAAGGAAGAAAAGCACUUCACAUAAAAUAGACAGGCAUGCUUUCAGGACUAACUAAGCAUGACUGCUGUUAAACUGGCUCACUCCAUAUACUCUGUGCUACAGCAAUUUAAUAUUUCAUUAAAAAGCAUUAAUGAUGGCUCCAGUGAAUUUCUCCUAUUCAAGCUCCAUAAUGACAGCAGUUCAAGCGAGUGUUGAUCUCUGAGUGAUGCAACACAAAAACAUCGCCUAACAAAGGAACACUUGGAGUACUACUCAUAUUCUCUGCAACUUGAGGAGAAAAAGAAGUGUUCUAUAAGAAGUUUGGACAAGACUCUGCAAGAAGUUAAGAGGUCCUUAAAGGCAACUGUGAAUUAACGGAGACUAGUUUUGAGAAAAUCAGUCCUGAUUUGUUUCUCCUGGAGUUUUCUUCUUUAUGUGAUCCUUCAUAAAAGCUGCUAAUAUGGGAAAGAUUGAAAUCAGCAAGUUUCUGGCUGUAAGCUAAAAGAGGCUCUUGAAUCAUAUUUCCGCCUGCUUAGCAAAUUUCUCUUGCGACAAUUGGAUGUUAUUUGGGGUUCCAUACUAGCAGGAAGAAGUACAAGCAAAGCUAAGUCAUUUUGAGAAUAAAUAUUAUCUCUCUA